RNAcentral lists this ribosomal RNA (825 nucleotides) under Cadophora sp. RNAcentral describes it as "partial large subunit ribosomal RNA". It matches the Rfam family "Eukaryotic large subunit ribosomal RNA", at positions 81 to 923 of the family's 3401-position model. The record is from RNAcentral. Lineage: Eukaryota; Fungi; Ascomycota; Leotiomycetes; Helotiales; Ploettnerulaceae.
CAGUAACGGCGAGUGAAGCGGUAACAGCUCAAAUUUGAAAGCUAGCUCUUUUAGGGUUCGCAUUGUAAUUUGUAGAAGAUGCUUCGGGUGUGGCCCCGGUCUAAGUUCCUUGGAACAGGACGUCAUAGAGGGUGAGAAUCCCGUAUGUGACUGGGUGCUUUCGCUCAUGUGAAGCUCUUUCGACGAGUCGAGUUGUUUGGGAAUGCAGCUCAAAAUGGGUGGUAAAUUUCAUCUAAAGCUAAAUAUUGGCCAGAGACCGAUAGCGCACAAGUAGAGUGAUCGAAAGAUGAAAAGCACUUUGGAAAGAGAGUUAAACAGUACGUGAAAUUGUUGAAAGGGAAGCGCUUGCAACCAGACUUGCGCGCUGAUGAUCAUCCGGGCUUCUGCCCGGUGCACUCGUCUGCGCUCAGGCCAGCAUCGGUUUCGGUGGUGGGAUAAAGGCCUUGGGAAUGUAGCUUCUUUCGGGGAGUGUUAUAGCCCUCGGUGCAAUGCCGCCUACCGGGACCGAGGACCGCGCUUCGGCUAGGAUGCUGGCGUAAUGGUUGUAAGCGACCCGUCUUGAAACACGGACCAAGGAGUCUAACAUCUAUGCGAGUGUUUGGGUGUCAAACCCAUACGCGUAAUGAAAGUGAACGGAGGUGAGAACCCUUAAGGGUGCAUCAUCGACCGAUCCUGAUGUCUUCGGAUGGAUUUGAGUAAGAGCAUAGCUGUUGGGACCCGAAAGAUGGUGAACUAUGCGUGAAUAGGGUGAAGCCAGAGGAAACUCUGGUGGAGGCUCGCAGCGGUUCUGACGUGCAAAUCGAUCGUCAAAUUUGCGUAUAGGGG